Molecule: ribosomal RNA, 253 nt
Filed under: uncultured bacterium
Lineage: Bacteria
Description: partial 16S ribosomal RNA
Rfam family: Bacterial small subunit ribosomal RNA
Source: RNAcentral
UACGGAGGGUGCGAGCGUUGUCCGGAAUCACUGGGCGUAAAGGGCGCGUAGGCGGCCUGUUAAGUAGGGGGUGAAAUCCUGCGGCUUAACCGCAGGGCUGCCUUCUAAACUGUCAGGCUAGAGCACGGUAGAGGCAGAUGGAAUUCCCGGUGUAGCGGUGGAAUGCGUAGAGAUCGGGAAGAACAUCAGUGGCGAAGGCGGUCUGCUGGGCCGUUGCUGACGCUGAGGCGCGACAGCGUGGGGAGCAAACAGG